GUGUCCGCUUUGGCAACACAUAUACUAAAAUUGGAACAAUAUAGAGAGGAUUAGCAUGGCCCCUGUGCAAGGAUGACACACAAAUUCAUGAAGCAUUCCAUAUAAAA
This is a small nuclear RNA of Dipodomys spectabilis (banner-tailed kangaroo rat), 107 nucleotides long. NCBI's taxonomy places the organism in Eukaryota, Metazoa, Chordata, Mammalia, Rodentia, Heteromyidae. The record is from RefSeq and is a predicted model, not a curated record.